UUUUGGUUUAAAAAKGUUUUUUUUCGCCCCWAARGGAWUGGGGUUCUGCCGGCCAGAAUUAGGGUAAGUUKGGUUAAGGUAAAUGGGCUUMCCCAAGCCCUAUGAUMAUGUACCGGGUUGUGAGAAGCAAGAGCCCGGCGACGCCCCCCUGAGWCAAGGUUUCCAGGCCCUACGGGGCGCAGCAGGCGCGAAACCUCCGCAAUGUGAGAAAUCSCGAAGGGGGGAUCCCAAGUGCCAUUCUUAACGAGKGGCUUUUCAUAAGUGUAAAAAGCUUUUGGAAUAAGAGCUGGGCAAGACCGGUGCCAGCCKCCGCGGUAACACCGGCAGCUCUAGUGGUAGCUGUUUUUAUUGGGCCUAAAGCGUUCGUAGCCGGUUUGAUAAGUCACUGGUGAAAUCCUGUAGCUUAACUGUGGGAAUUGCUGGUGAUACUGUUGAACUUGAGGUCGGGAGAGGUYAGCGGUACUCCCAGGGUAGAGGUGAAAUUCUGUWWUCGUGGGAGGACCACCUGUGGCGAAGGCGGCUAACUGGAACGAACCUGACGGUGAGGGCGAAACUAGGG
RNAcentral lists this ribosomal RNA (559 nucleotides) under uncultured Methanobacteriaceae archaeon. Its description in RNAcentral is "partial 16S ribosomal RNA". It matches the Rfam family "Archaeal small subunit ribosomal RNA", at positions 168 to 715 of the family's 1478-position model. Lineage: Archaea; Methanobacteriati; Methanobacteriota; Methanobacteria; Methanobacteriales; Methanobacteriaceae. The record is from RNAcentral.